GAUGAAGAACGUAGCGAAAUGCGAUAAGUAGUGUGAAUUGCAAAUUCAGUGAAUCAUCGAGUCUUUGAACGCACAUUGCGCCCCCUGGUAUUCCGGGGGGCAUGCCUGUCCGAGCGUCAUUGCUGCCCUCAAGCACGGCUUGUGUGUUGGGCCCCGUCCUCCGAUCCCGGGGGACGGGCCCGAAAGGCAGCGGCGGCACCGCGUCCGGUCCUCGAGCGUAUGGGGCUUUGUCACCCGCUCUGUAGGCCCGGCCGGCGCUUGCCGAUCAACCCAAAUUUUUUAUCCAGGUUGACCUCGGAUCAGGUAGGGAUACCCGCUGAACUUAAGCAUAUCAAUAAGCGGAGGA
RNAcentral lists this unclassified non-coding RNA (346 nucleotides) under soil metagenome. RNAcentral describes it as "partial contains 5.8S ribosomal RNA, internal transcribed spacer 2, and large subunit ribosomal RNA". The stretch from base 1 to 119 matches the Rfam family "5.8S ribosomal RNA", at positions 35 to 154 of the family's 154-position model. The record is from RNAcentral.